RNAcentral lists this ribosomal RNA (468 nucleotides) under uncultured bacterium. Its description in RNAcentral is "partial 16S ribosomal RNA". It matches the Rfam family "Bacterial small subunit ribosomal RNA", at positions 28 to 507 of the family's 1533-position model. The record is from RNAcentral.
GACGAACGCUGGCGGCGUGCUUAACACAUGCAAGUCGAACGGAAAGGCCCUGCUUUUGUGGGGUGCUCGAGUGGCGAACGGGUGAGUAACACGUGAGUAACCUGCCCUUGACUUUGGGAUAACUUCAGGAAACUGGGGCUAAUACCGGAUAGGAGCUCCUGCUGCAUGGUGGGGGUUGGAAAGUUUCGGCGGUUGGGGAUGGACUCGCGGCUUAUCAGCUUGUUGGUGGGGUAGUGGCUUACCAAGGCUUUGACGGGUAGCCGGCCUGAGAGGGUGACCGGGCACAUUGGGACUGAGAUACGGCCCAGACUCCUACGGGAGGCAGCAGUGGGGAAUAUUGCACAAUGGGCGGAAGCCUGAUGCAGUAACGCCGCGUGCGGGAUGACGGCCUUCGGGUUGUAAACCGCUUUCGCCUGUGACGAAGCGUGAGUGACGGUAAUGGGUAAAGAAGCACCGGCUAACUACGUG